This 433-nucleotide ribosomal RNA is filed under the name uncultured bacterium. RNAcentral describes it as "partial 16S ribosomal RNA". It matches the Rfam family "Bacterial small subunit ribosomal RNA", at positions 29 to 507 of the family's 1533-position model. The record is from RNAcentral.
AACGAACGCUGGCGGCAUGCCUAACACAUGCAAGUCGAACGAGACCUCCGGGUCUAGUGGCGCACGGGUGCGUAACGCGUGGGAACCUGCCCUUAGGUUCGGAAUAACUCCCCGAAAGGGGUGCUAAUACCGGAAAAUGUCUUCGGACCAAAGAUUUAUCGCCUUUGGUUGGCCCCGCUUUGGAUUAGCUAGUUGGUAGGGUAAAAGCCUACCAUGGCGACGAUCCAUAGCUGGUCUGAGAGGAUGUUCAUCCACGCUGGGUCUGAGACACGGCCCAGACUCCUACGGGAGGCUGCGGUGGGGAAUAUUGGACGAUUAGCGCAAGCCUGAUCCAGCAAUGCCGCGUGAGUGAUGAAGGCCUUAGGGUUGUAAAGCUCUUUUAUCCGGGAUGAUAAUGACAUUACCGGGAGAAUAAGCUCCGGCUAACUCCGUG